GGCACAGAGCACAGCUUCCCCUGUGGUCUCUCUAGAUCUCUAAGGGACCUUCCCUGGGGCACUAUGCUCCACAGCAAAGCCAGUCCCCCUGAGGCCCAGCUCAACACCCCAACUCUUCCUCCAGUGACUCUUACAGACCCCAGCAGGCUAAGGGUAGGAGGGGGGUCCUGAAUCUUAGAAGAAACCCUGAGGCGCUGCACUGGCAGCCUCAUCAGAUCUCAGCGAAUGGUGAGGAGGGGACAGUGUCCUCACUCGGCUCUGAGGAAGCAUCCAUCUGGACACCUGCAGCUGCCAGUAAGACUCUGGAGAUAGCUCUAGGAGGAAACAACUAAAGGAGGAGUAAACAAUGUUGGACAGAGACUCCAACAAGCACUGUUUGAA
Long non-coding RNA from Suricata suricatta (meerkat), 381 nucleotides. RefSeq lists it as uncharacterized. The transcript has 2 exons. The record is from RefSeq and is a predicted model, not a curated record. Lineage: Eukaryota; Metazoa; Chordata; Mammalia; Carnivora; Herpestidae.